This 378-nucleotide ribosomal RNA is filed under the name uncultured eukaryote. RNAcentral describes it as "partial 18S ribosomal RNA". It matches the Rfam family "Eukaryotic small subunit ribosomal RNA", at positions 592 to 976 of the family's 1831-position model. The record is from RNAcentral.
CAAUAGCGUAUAUUAAAGUUGUUGCAGUUAAAAAGCUCGUAGUUGGAUUUCGGGACGGCACGGUCGGUCCGCCGCAAGGUGUGUUACUGGCCGGGCUGUUCUUCUUCGCAAAGACUGUGUGUGCUCUUAACUGAGUGUGCGCAGGAGUUGCGACGUUUACUUUGAAAAAAUUAGAGUGUUCAAAGCAGGCCGUAGCUUGAAUACAUAAGCAUGGAAUAAUGGAAUAGGACUUUGGUUCUAUUUUGUUGGUUUCUGGAACCGAAGUAAUGAUUAAGAGGGACAGUUGGGGGCAUUCGUAUUUCGUUGUCAGAGGUGAAAUUCUUGGAUUUACGAAAGACGAACUACUGCGAAAGCAUUUGCCAAGAAUGUUUUCAUUAA